GCAGACAGCACACUGAGGGGGCGGGGUUAGGUCGCCGCCCACAUGUGACGCACAGAGAGGUAUAUAAAGCCAGACCCUCGUGCUAGGCGCUCUCUCUGGCGGCGGCUGUGACUUGUCUAUGGUGCUGUGUUGCGGAAGAAUCGGUCUGAUGCCAGGGGUCCAGCUGGCGCGCUGCAAGGUGCGCAUGUCUGGCUUGCUCAUCUGUGACCUGGAUCUCCUCUGUGAGGACAAUGUGCCCUGAUACCGGUGACUUUGUACAUAAGAUGGUGUGUAACAGUGCUCUGAAGAUACCAUGAAUGUAAACUUGUUUUGGACGCUGUUUGGAAGAGCAACAAUCUCCAUGAAGAUGCAGGCUCAAGGUGAAGUCUGACAAGAUGCUGUGAACUUGCACCUCUGUUUUGGGCACCGUUGUGAAGUGUAACCAUCUCUAUGAAGAUGCAGGUUCUGGAGAGGCCGGAGCUACCUGCUCUUAUGAGGGGAAAAGCCUCCAGUCAUAACAGGCUUAAGGAGAAGUCCACCAAGUUGCGGUAAAGGGUGACACAACAGCUGUAGGCAGAAGCAAAGAUUUGUGCAAAAUGGAACAGCCUUAAAUGUAUCUUGUUUCUGCAUAUACAAUAAACUGUUCUGGAGUCUGAA
Pseudophryne corroboree (corroboree frog) is the source of this 636-nucleotide long non-coding RNA. RefSeq lists it as uncharacterized. The record is from RefSeq and is a predicted model, not a curated record. The transcript has 11 exons. NCBI's taxonomy places the organism in Eukaryota, Metazoa, Chordata, Amphibia, Anura, Myobatrachidae.